RNAcentral lists this long non-coding RNA (462 nucleotides) under Malus domestica (apple). RNAcentral's name for it is "long non-coding RNA (MDOM_LNC004646)". The record is from RNAcentral. Lineage: Eukaryota; Viridiplantae; Streptophyta; Magnoliopsida; Rosales; Rosaceae.
CCGUCUUUAUUUGGAGCUUCCUAGCUUCUAAUCUUUCUACAGAGAAUGUCACAUUAACUAGAUAGUUGAUGAUGAGGUCUUGCUAGCUUGAGGUUGUGUUGCUUGUAACACCUCAGCUGCCAAGUUUUUCUUCUAUGCUUGGCUUUCCCAAAUACUCAAUCAGGAUGAAGUGUUUGAAUUAGUAGUCCAAAGCAGAGCCUAAGGCUGCCAAGGCGUCUACGUGAGCGUUGUCUGCCUGUGGCACUUGUGUGAAAAUGUAAGUCUGAAAUGCCUCAAGCUGCUUUCGUACCUUCUCUAGGUAUAGUGCCAUCCUUGGAUGCUUUGUUGCAUACUUCUCAGUAAUCUGGCUAGUGAUGAGCUGAGAAUCGGAAUAGAUUGCGAGCUUCUUGACUGCCAGAUCUUGUGCCAUUCGGAGGCGAACUAAGCCUGCUCUAGAGCCCUUGUAGUUGGAUGAACCGUCGA